Molecule: non-coding RNA, 116 nt
Organism: Pteropus alecto (black flying fox)
Lineage: Eukaryota; Metazoa; Chordata; Mammalia; Chiroptera; Pteropodidae
Source: Rfam
GCCUAUAGCCAUGCCACCUUGAACAAGUCUGAUGUCUGAUCUCGGAAGCUAAGCAGGUUCGGACUUGGUUAGUACUUGGAUGGGAGACCACCUAAGAAGACCAGGUGCUGUAGGCA